Molecule: long non-coding RNA, 1381 nt
Organism: Aphis gossypii (cotton aphid)
Lineage: Eukaryota; Metazoa; Arthropoda; Insecta; Hemiptera; Aphididae
Exons: 10
Source: RefSeq, a predicted model, not a curated record
CAAUUGAUUUGCUGAACAAUGGAAUAGAUUGAAGUACAAAAAGAAACAUUUGACAAAUUUGCCAGACGUAUCAACAAUGGACUUGUAAGAGACAAUAGUUACUGUUUCCUAGACGUCCUUACAUUCAAUUAGUUUAUUAUUGCAGUACCACGUUUGACAAUUGAUUUGCUGAACAAUGGAAUAGAUUGAAGUACAAAAAGAAACAUUUGACAAAUUUGCCAGACGUAUCAACAAUGGACUUAUUGCAGUACCACGUUUGACAAUUGAUUUGCUGAACAAUGGAAUAGAUUGAAGUACAAAAAGAAACAUUUGACAAAUUUGCCAGACGUAUCAACAAUGGACUUUAAGAGACAAUAGUUACUGUUUCCUAGACGUCCUUACAUUCAAUUAGUUUAUUAUUGCAGUACCAGGUUUGACAAUUGAUUUGCUGAACAAUGGAAUGGAUUUGAGUACAAAAAGAAACAUUUGACAAAUUGGCCAGACGUAUCAACAAUGGACUUGUAAGAGACAAUAGUUACUGUUUCCUAGACGUCCUUACAUUCAAUUAGUUUAUUAUUGCAGUACCACGUUUGACAAUUGAUUUGCUGAACAAUGGAAUGGAUUGAAGUACAAAAAGAAACAUUUGACAAAUUGGCCAGACGUAUCAACAAUGGACUUGUAAGAGACAAUAGUUACUGUUUCCUAGACGUCCUUACAUUCAAUUAGUUUAUUAUUGCAGUACCACGUUUGACAAUUGAUUUGCUGAACAAUGGAAUAGAUUGAAGUACAAAAAGAAACAUUUGACAAAUUUGCCAGACGUAUCAACAAUGGACUUUAAGAGACAAUAGUUACUGUUUCCUAGACGUCCUUACAUUCAAUUAGUUUAUUAUUGCAGUACCACGUUUGACAAUUGAUUUGCUGAACAAUGGAAUAGAUUGAAGUACAAAAAGAAACAUUUGACAAAUUUGCCAGACGUAUCAACAAUGGACUUUAAGAGACAAUAGUUACUGUUUCCUAGACGUCCUUACAUUCAAUUAGUUUAUUAUUGCAGUACCACGUUUGACAAUUGAUUUGCUGAACAAUGGAAUGGAUUUGAGUACAAAAAGAAACAUUUGACAAAUUGGCCAGACGUAUCAACAAUGGACUUGUAAGAGACAAUAAUUACUGUUUCCUAGACGUCCUUACAUUCAAUUAGUUUAUUAUUGCAGUACCAGGUUUGACAAUUGAUUUGCUGAACAAUGGAAUGGAUUUGAGUACAAAAAGAAACAUUUGACAAAUUGGCCAGACGUAUCAACAAUGGACUUGUAAGAGACAAUAGUUACUGUUUCCUAGACGUCCUUACAUUCAAUUAGUUUAUUAUUGCAGUACCACGUUUGACAAUUGAUUUGCUGAACAAUGGAAU